This 497-nucleotide ribosomal RNA is filed under the name uncultured bacterium. RNAcentral's name for it is "partial 16S ribosomal RNA". It matches the Rfam family "Bacterial small subunit ribosomal RNA", at positions 28 to 507 of the family's 1533-position model. The record is from RNAcentral.
GAUGAACGCUGGCGGCGUGCCUAAUACAUGCAAGUCGAGCGAACAGACGAGGAGCUUGCUCCUCUGACGUUAGCGGCGGACGGGUGAGUAACACGUGGAUAACCUACCUAUAAGACUGGGAUAACUUCGGGAAACCGGAGCUAAUACCGGAUAAUAUAUUGAACCGCAUGGUUCAAUAGUGAAAGACGGUUUUGCUGUCACUUAUAGAUGGAUCCGCGCCGCAUUAGCUAGUUGGUAAGGUAACGGCUUACCAAGGCAACGAUGCGUAGCCGACCUGAGAGGGUGAUAGGCCACACUGGGACUGAAACACGGUCCAGACUGCGACGGGAGGCAGCAGUAGGGAAUCUUCCGCAAUGGGCGAAAGCCUGACGGAGCAACGCCGCGUGAGUGAUGAAGGUCUUCGGAUCGUAAAACUCUGUUAUUAGGGAAGAACAAAUGUGUAAGUAACUAUGCACGUCUUGACGGUACCUAAUCAGAAAGCCACGGCUAACUACGUG